This 600-nucleotide ribosomal RNA is filed under the name uncultured Gammaproteobacteria bacterium. RNAcentral's name for it is "bacterial SSU rRNA". It matches the Rfam family "Bacterial small subunit ribosomal RNA", at positions 54 to 633 of the family's 1533-position model. The record is from RNAcentral. Lineage: Bacteria; Pseudomonadati; Pseudomonadota; Gammaproteobacteria.
CAUGCAAGUCGAGCGGAAACGAGUUGUCUGAACCUUCGGGGAACGAUAACGGCGUCGAGCGGCGGACGGGUGAGUAAUGCCUAGGAAAUUGCCUUGAUGUGGGGGAUAACCAUUGGAAACGAUGGCUAAUACCGCAUAAUGCCUACGGGCCAAAGAGGGGGACCUUCGGGCCUCUCGCGUCAAGAUAUGCCUAGGUGGGAUUAGCUAGUUGGUGAGGUAAUGGCUCACCAAGGCGACGAUCCCUAGCUGGUCUGAGAGGAUGAUCAGCCACACUGGAACUGAGACACGGUCCAGACUCCUACGGGAGGCAGCAGUGGGGAAUAUUGCACAAUGGGCGAAAGCCUGAUGCAGCCAUGCCGCGUGUAUGAAGAAGGCCUUCGGGUUGUAAAGUACUUUCAGUUGUGAGGAAGGGGGUGUCGUUAAUAGCGGCAUCUCUUGACGUUAGCAACAGAAGAAGCACCGGCUAACUCCGUGCCAGCAGCCGCGGUAAUACGGAGGGUGCGAGCGUUAAUCGGAAUUACUGGGCGUAAAGCGCAUGCAGGUGGUUCAUUAAGUCAGAUGUGAAAGCCCGGGGCUCAACCUCGGAACUGCAUUUGAAAC